ACUAAUUUAGUAUUUAAGUACAUUUGAUUUCCAUUCAGAAAGGCUCUUUAAGUAGAAAUUUUAUUAC
Molecule: transfer RNA, 67 nt
Filed under: Armadillidium album
Lineage: Eukaryota; Metazoa; Arthropoda; Malacostraca; Isopoda; Armadillidiidae
Description: tRNA-Gly
Source: RNAcentral